Molecule: ribosomal RNA, 485 nt
Filed under: uncultured bacterium
Lineage: Bacteria
Description: bacterial SSU rRNA
Rfam family: Bacterial small subunit ribosomal RNA
Source: RNAcentral
AAUGAACGUUGGCGGCGUGGAUUAGGCAUGCAAGUCGUGCGAGAAGCUUCCUUCGGGAAGUGGACAGCGGCGAAAGGGAGAGUAAUACGUAGAAAUCUGCCCCGGAGUCUGGGAUAGCGUCGGGAAACUGGCGGUAAUACCGGAUAACGUCUUCGGACCAAAGGUGUGAUUCCGCUCUGGGAUGAGUCUACGACCUAUUAGCUAGUUGGCGGGGUAAUGGCCCACCAAGGCGACGAUGGGUAGCGGGUGUGAGAGCAUGGCCCGCCUCACUGGGACUGAGACACUGCCCAGACAUCUACGGAUGGCUGCAGUCGAGAAUCUUUGUCAAUGGACGAAAGUCUGAACAAGCGACGCCGCGUGCGGGAUGAAGGCCCUCGGGUUGUAAACCGCUGUCGUAAGGGAACAAAUCUAUAGGGGUUCUCUCCUAUAGUUGAGUGAUCUUAGGAGGAAGGACGGGCUAAGUUCGUGCCAGCCGCCGCGGUAAU